Spinacia oleracea (spinach) is the source of this 1058-nucleotide long non-coding RNA. RefSeq lists it as uncharacterized. The transcript has 2 exons. Lineage: Eukaryota; Viridiplantae; Streptophyta; Magnoliopsida; Caryophyllales; Amaranthaceae. The record is from RefSeq and is a predicted model, not a curated record.
UAUAGAGAUAAAGUUCUCUCUUUCUUUUUCUCCACCUCAGUAAGCGGCGCGUCUCGCCGGUAACUAGUGGCGCUUCCCUCUAAUCACUGGUUACUAGCGAGCUCGUAUAUUAUGAAGUUACUCAGGUGAGCCCCGAUCAAUUAAUCUCCCUCGAUUCUGCAUCAACAAAAGGGGGUGUUUCUUCUGUUGUUUCGUACAAAGCACAAGUAUUCAUCUCUGAUCUCAGCUGAAGCUCGGUAUUUAACGCGUUUCUUGCAUCUUGGUAGUGGUUUUGUGGGUGAUUAUGAUGAAAAGUGAUGGAAAAUAAGUAGAAUCAAGCCAAAACAGGGCUUGUGCGAUCGAGUGAUGGUUUGUGCGCCCGAACAGAGGAGUGCAAAUGGGCACAAGGAAUAUCUAGUUCUGUGCGGUCGAACGUGCUCUGUUGUUCGGUCGCACAGGAUGGGUUUUUGGAGGCAGAAUGUCUAAAAGUUGGAAAGCGACCGCACAAGUCUACUACUCGGCAGCACAGGUUUUGUGCGAUCGAACGUGCUUUGUGGUUCGGUUGCACAUGAUUAAUUUUUGGAGGCAGAAUGUCUCUAAUUUGGGAUGCGACCGCACAAGGUUAUCUACUCGACCGCACAAGAGUUGUGCGCCCACACAAGGCCUUUCGUUCGAGCGAAUCAUGCUGUAGAGGAAUUAUGAGCCAAAGAAACCCCGUUCGACCGAACAUGGUUCUUCAUUCCGUCGCGCAUGACGAAGGAAGUGUUCUUCGCUGCCUUCGCUCGCACAGGUCCCAGUGUUUGCUCGAACGGUUCUUAUACGUUCGGUCGCACAAAGGGUCUGUGCGACCGAAUGGCUCCGUGGGCUGCUCUUAUUCGAAUUUUGGCUUCUAUUUGGGGAAACUUAUAAAUAGAUUUUUCGAUUAUUUUGUUAUGUGUAGAAUUUUAGUUGACAAUUUUAGAUUCUCAAAGUUAGUUUUUCAGCAUUUCUAGAGAGAGAAACUCUCCCCCAUUGAAGCAUCAAUUUGUAAUUCUCUAAACUCUUCUUCUAAUUUUGUGCAAUUCAAUUCAAUUUCUUAA